GAUGAACGCUGGCGGCGUGCCUAAUACAUGCAAGUCGAACGCGCCGAGAAGGGAACUUGUUCCUUUCAACGCGAGUGGCGAACGGGUGAGUAACACGUGGGAAACCUACCCUUCAGCGGGGGAUAACCAUCGGAAACGAUGACUAAUACCGCAUAGUUGUUCCAGUCGCAUGACUGGAAUGGGAAAGACGGCUUCGGAUGUCACUGAAGGAUGGUCCCGCGGUGCAUUAGCUAGACGGUGGGGUAACGGCCUACCGUGGCUUUGAUGCAUAGUCGACCUGAGAGGGUGAUCGGCCACAUUGGUACUGAGACACGGCCCAAACUCCUACGGGAGGCAGCAGUAGGGAAUCUUCCGCAAUGGACGCAAGUCUGACGGAGCAACGGCGCGUGUGUUAAGAAAGUCUUCGGAUCGUAAAGCACUGUUAUCAGUGAUGAAUAGCCUCUAGAGUAACUGUUAUAGGUUUGACGGUAACUGAUCAGAAAGCCACGGCUAACUACGUG
This 500-nucleotide ribosomal RNA is filed under the name uncultured bacterium. Its description in RNAcentral is "partial 16S ribosomal RNA". It matches the Rfam family "Bacterial small subunit ribosomal RNA", at positions 28 to 507 of the family's 1533-position model. The record is from RNAcentral.